RNAcentral lists this ribosomal RNA (2222 nucleotides) under Triticum aestivum (bread wheat). RNAcentral's name for it is "partial small subunit ribosomal RNA". The record is from RNAcentral. Lineage: Eukaryota; Viridiplantae; Streptophyta; Magnoliopsida; Poales; Poaceae.
AUGGUCCUGACCAUGGCGGCUAUCACUCUCCUGCCGCUGCUGAUGACGCUUCUGGCCGCACCAGCCACGGCGGAGCUGCGGCCUGAUCGACUUCUCCUACCCGUUCGGCGUAGGCCCCGGGUGCUCGCUGCCGGGGUUCAACCUCACCUGCGACGCCAACACGUACAGUAAGCGCCUCCUGCUCGGCAGCCCCAGCGUCACGGUGGACUACACGAUCUUGGCGAGCGGCUUCAUUUCCUCGCUCGCCGUCAACAUCGUGCGCACGGUGCGCAUGAGACCCGCGCCGGCGCCGGGACGGUCUCCGCCUCGGCCUCGUGGGACGGCCCCGGCAGGCCGUUCGCCAUCUCCGGCGCGUCCAACAUGCGUCGCUGUUCGUCCUCGGCUGCGGCGUCACGGCCACGCUGCUCGACCGUGGAGCCGCGGUGGGGAACUGCUCCGUGGCCUGCGCCGGGGAGGAGGUCAUGCGGAGGCUGCCGAACGGGCUCUGCGUCGGCGUGGGCUGCUGCCGCAUCGACGUAGGCGUGCACCUCCGGGCGUUCACCCUCAACUUGUCGCGCACCGGCGACGGUGUCAGCCGGGACAAACUGACCUUCUUCGUCACCGGCCAGGACAGGUACACGUUCCGACCCAGCGAUCUGGACCGUGACAUUCACCUCGACAUGGUUCCUCCGGCUCGGCUGGACUGGGCCAUCCCCAGCCAGCCGGACUGCCGGCACGCCAUGGACGACAGGGUGACAUAUGCCUGUGUCAGUAACCAGAGCGAGUGCCGGGACUCGCCGAUCGGAGGCUACGCCUGCCACUGCUCCAGGGGCUUCUCCGGCAACCCCUAUGCCGUCGAUGGCUGCGUGCCGGACCAAGAUAUCAACGAGUGCUUGCAGCCAGAUAAAUACACUUGCAAUGGAAUCUGUCAGAAUAGCCUCGGAAGUUUUACUUGCUUUAGUUGCCCGCGCGGGACAGAUUUUGACAUAAUUGCAAGGAAGUGCAAAACAUCAAAUGUUAUCUUAGGUGUUACCAUUGGACUGAGCUCUGGCGCGAGGAUUCUGUUUCUUGCCGUGAUUACGAUCAUUAUCAUCCAUAGAUGGAAGAAAGGCGUCCAGAAACAGCUCAAGAAGAGGUACUUUCGCAAGAACAAGGGCAUCCUCCUUGAACAGCUCGUCUCCUCUGACCCAAGUGCCAGUGACAGCACCAAGAUAUUCUCCCUGGAAGAGCUAGAGAAGGCGACCAACAACUUUGACCACUCGCGCGUGGUCGGCCGUGGCGGCCACGGGACGGUCUACAAGGGCAUCCUGAUGGACCAGCGCGUUGUCGCCAUCAAGAGGGCAAAGCUGGUGGCGAGCGCCGAGAUCGACCAGUUCAUCAACGAGGUUGCCAUCCUGUCGCAGAUCAACCAUCGGAACGUCGUGAAGCUCCAUGGAUGCUGCCUGGAGUCCGAGGUCCCUCUGCUCGUCUACGAGUUCAUCUCCAGCGGCACGCUCUACGACCUCUUGAACGGGGCGCAAGAUGGUAGGCUUUUGCCGAUGCCUUGGGAGGAGCGCCUAAGGAUCGCCACCGAGAUCGCGGGCGCGCUCACGUACCUGCACUCGGCAGCUUCAAUGUCGAUACUUCAUCGAGACAUCAAGUCCAUGAACGUGCUCCUGAACGACAGCCAUACGGCAAAGGUUUCAGAUUUUGGUGCGUCGAGGUCGAUACCAAUUGACCAGACACAUCUGGUCACUGCCGUGCAGGGCACCUUUGGCUACUUGGAUCCGGAGUACUACCACACGGGCCGAUUAACCGAGAAGAGCGAUGUUUACAGUUUCGGAGUGAUUCUUGUCGAGCUGCUGAUGAGGAAGAAGCCGCUCAUCGAGAACGAGAAUGGCGAGAAGCAGAACCUGUCCAACUACUUCCUGUGGGCUAUGGGGGAGAGGCCUCUAGAGGAGAUAGUGGAUAAGCAGGUUCUGCAGGAACAAGAUAUGGAGGCGAUCAAGCACGUGGCUUUCUUGGCGCGAGAGUGCUUGAACCUGAGAGGGCAAAAGAGACCUAGCAUGAAGGACGUGGAGAUGAGGUUACAAUUCCUGAGGGCACGGAAGGUUGCUCCAGGAAAGGAUGAAGUGGUUCGAUCUCACCGUGAUGUAGGAGGAGGAGAUUGGCAUGGAGGCGUUGUUCCGGCGGCUGGUCACGAUGGCACACGCCAGUACAGUCUAGAGCAAGAGUACGCGUCAUCCUUGCGCAUACCACGAUAA